CACACCUGUAAGCUACCCGGCAGAAAUGCGACGACGGCAAAACGCGGCAAAGGAUACCCUUAUACUAAUAGCGUUACUACAAGACAUUAAUUUUGGGACAUUUGGAAUUUCUUUUGGUUGAAAUUACAGAAGGCCCGGUGAAAUGGCUCCCGGGGAAGAAGGGCUGCCGCCGUCACCAAGGUGGUGACAGGGAAUGGACUAUCAACAUUUGCAAGCGCAUCCAUGGAGCGGGUUUGAAGAAGUGCGCCCCUUGGGCAGUCAAGGAAAUCCGGAUAUUUGCCAUGAAGGUGAUGGAAACUCCAGAGUGCACGUUGACAUGGGGCCCAAUGAAACCUUCUGGGCCAAAGGAGCAAGAGAUGCCCCAGACCGGAUUCUUGUGCUGUGGUUGUCCAGAAAACAUAAUGAAGAUGAUGAUUUACCAAACAAGUUCUACACAUUGGUUAGCUAUGUACCUGUCAUCACUUUCAAAAAUCUGCAGUUAAUGUGGAUGAGGACAGCUGACUGUUAAAUAAAGUUACAGAACUGCCUUCACCCCCCCCCCAAAAAAAAAAUCGCUCUGGUGCCAAGCAAAGGAGAUAGAAUUCAAACUAUCCUUACAGAGUCUAGCCAGAGGGAUAAGCUGUGGGGAAACAGCUGUGCAGCAUAGAGGAGCCAGUGUCCACUGCGGGCCAGAGCCACAGGGCACUGAGGAGUUGAGAGAGGGAGUUAAUUUUGGGGAUUGGCCAGUUGGAGAAGGCAAAAGGAAGCGAGAAGAUUAGAACUUACUCUGUCUUCCUGGACAUCUCUGAGUUCCUAGAUGUCACCAUCACAACGGCCUGUUGGCCCUGGAAGCCCAGCCCAGCUUCUGCGGGGAGGGAGAUGGCGCUGGGCCCUUCAUGUCGUCGCCUCUCUCCCUCCUCCCCUUCAUUAAUGCAGUAUUUAUAUGCAGGCUCUCCUGUUUCCAUCAGGCUCUAACAUUUUAUCGACAUGAGUUUCAGCAUUAUCUCAAAACAUCGCUGUCAGAGAUGUAUUUCUUCCAUCAACAUGAAGCCCAGGGUCUACUUUAUAGAAAUACAUUCCAGAUUACCUUCCCUAGACUCAUUCUCUGUCACGUGAGCUUGACUUGCUUAUAAGCACAUUUCUGCCCUUGCUGAUUUUCAAAACAUCAUUGGACUGUUGCUAUAUAGUCUGCCUCAUAGCAAGUACUACAGCAACUCAUUUAGUCAAUACGUGCAUGUAUUGAAUACCUACUGUGUGCCAGGUACAAGAAUCUCGGGCCUCAUGGAACAAACAUUCUAUGAACGGCCAAUUAAAUAAUGAAAGACAUGAGACUUUAACUUGAAUAUCACUAUCGUGGCAAAUAUUAGUAAGAAAUUGGAGUAAAUAAACUCUAGCUUUAAUGAAAGUACAGUGUAUACAGUUCAACACAGAGCAAUGACUAAUGCAUCAUGGCAGAGGACAAUCCUUGAAAAUAUCAUCCUUGGGCCUACAAACACGUCAUUGUGUAGACUAAUCUCAGGUCUAUGAGGGUGAGCAAGUUUACAGUUCUUUGAAAUUUGAUCUCAGUUUCAGUUGCAAAGGCCUAAAUUGGGUUAGAGCAGCUUGCCUUUCGUAGUCCUCAACCUUCCUUGAUCCUCAGGGAUCAAUGACUAAUUCAGUUUUUUAAAAGUAGGGUGGCAGGCAUCCCAAGAACUCAGCCUCUGGGGGUUACAUCUGGUUUGGCAACUUCCUGUGGUGUGCAAUGCCCAGCCCCAUGUAUCUGUAGCCGUUAUGUGAGUAAUAAUGCAGAGUAUAUGCUCUGGAUCUUUUAAGGUACAUCAAGGGGCUGUAUUUCAGCAGCCGAUAGGACUCCAAGAGUUUUACCUUUUACUACUCCAGCCUUUCAGAUUUUCCCGGAAUCGUCACCUCUUAGAGUCUGUGCCUUCUCUGUGUGUUCCCAGAAUUCUCUAUUUAGGCUACUGUCAUGUUGGUUUAAAAAAAAAAAAAAAAAUAGAGAGCUUUGAGUCAGUUCAGCUCACCAAUUCACCUUAGAAUCCACACUGAUACUUCCAAAAGGGAAAAAAGCAAAGACUGCUUUAGCUUGGGGGUGAAUGUCUCAAUUCUCCCUUGGUUUCACUGCCUUUUCCAUUCAGGUGGCUUCCCAUUUCGUUCUGGAGCUUCCUGGUCCCGGAAUUUAUUUUCCAUUAAAGAAGCUCUUUUCUCAGAAGCUGUUUUUUUCCUGCUCUCCGGCCCCUGUUUUGCUCCUUCAGAGGUCUGGCUGCUGCUACUGCCUCAGCCCCAGCCCCAGCUUGCCAGGGCUCCAGGCCAAGCCAGCCUUCCAGCUGCUACUCAGCCGCUCGGUUCCAACUGUCUAGCCCCAACCGACUCAGAACCUUCUGGUCCCAAACAUUCUCUCACACCCAGCCCCCACCAAGGAACAAAUGCAGAAGCUCCAGCCGGGUCCAGCUAACACUGAAUGGGAGGAAGGGGGCGAGGAGAAUGCAGGCGUGAUCAAUUUUCCUUAGAAUGAGUAGUUUCCUACACCUCAUAGGUCAUGGGUAAGAACUGAUGGUGUUUGUAUUUCAAAAACUUUCAUUAACUAAAUACCCAAGUGACCAUAGAAAGGAAUAUUGAGAUUCUAUAACAGUUCUACUGGCCUUAAGAAUAAAAAGAUAUACAUUAAGGGUCACCUAUCUGGGCACCUAAGAGACUGAGGACUCCUCCUUCUCAGCACCUCUUCUCUAAGCCUUCUAGAAAAUAGUGCCUCAUGUAAGAACCUCUCACAUCUAUUCCUGUCCCUAAUAUGGUUGGGUGGGGGGGAGAGUGGUUUGAAUGUUUGGGAUCCCUAAUCUCACAGACAGGGCAAUAACAAGAUAAAGUAUUAAAUAAAGGAUGUUAAUG
RNAcentral lists this long non-coding RNA (2859 nucleotides) under Sus scrofa (pig). Its description in RNAcentral is "lncRNA (ENSSSCG00050060989.1)". The record is from RNAcentral. Lineage: Eukaryota; Metazoa; Chordata; Mammalia; Artiodactyla; Suidae.